GACGAACGCUGGCGGCGUGCUUAACACAUGCAAGUCGAACGGAAAGGCCUUGCUUCUGUUGGGUGCUCGAGUGGCGAACGGGUGAGAAACAUGUGAGAAACCUGCCCUUGCCUUUGGGAUAACUUCAGGAAACUGGGGCAAAUACCGGAUAGGAGCUCCUGCUGCAUGGUGGGGGUUGGAAAGUUUGGGCGGUUGGGGAUGGACUUGCGGCUUAUCAGCUUGUUGGUGGGGUAGUGGCUUACGUAGGCUUUGACGGGUAGCCGGCCUGAGAGGGUGGCCGGCCACAUUGGGAAUGCGCUACCGCCCAGACUCCUACGGGAGGCAGCAGUGGGGGAUAUUGCACAAUGGGCGGAAGCCUGAUGCAGCAACGCCGCGUGCGGGAUGACGGCCUUCGGGUUGUAGCCCGCUUUCGCCUGUGACGAAGCGCGGGUGACGGUAAUGGGUAAAGAAGCACCGGCUAACUACGUG
This 468-nucleotide ribosomal RNA is filed under the name uncultured bacterium. RNAcentral's name for it is "partial 16S ribosomal RNA". It matches the Rfam family "Bacterial small subunit ribosomal RNA", at positions 28 to 507 of the family's 1533-position model. The record is from RNAcentral.